Molecule: long non-coding RNA, 1691 nt
Organism: Gadus chalcogrammus (walleye pollock)
Lineage: Eukaryota; Metazoa; Chordata; Actinopteri; Gadiformes; Gadidae
Exons: 4
Source: RefSeq, a predicted model, not a curated record
GCGCACGUACUGGUAGUCUGCAGGUUCCACCGACUCAGAUACUCAUUCACUUUGAAAUUAUUCGAAGUUAGUCCCAAUCGAAAGACAUACAUAAUCAAAUAGCGUACGUGAUUAUGGUGGAUGUUUUUAAAAUAAACAACACAAUCCUUCGUUAAAGCCUGGAAAAUAGGCUUAACAACAUGUUCUAGCCUAUUUUCCAAGCUAUUACUGCUGAAACACUUUCCAAAUAGUCAACACAAUUUGAGGCGGGACACUCAAGGGACAUCAUUUUCGACAAUUAACAACGGAACUUGGGUGCGCGUCACAAAAGUGUCACACGUUCGGGGUUCCCCCCGUGAGCUGAAGCUGGGCGUCGGCGGGGCACGGCGGAGCUGAGCGUGACAGUCAGGACCACCACCACCACAGCAUCCCCAUAGGGAGGGGGGCAUGCCUGCAGAGGCAUAACCACUCAGGGACCAGCAUGGAGGAGUGGAGGAGAAGGGGGAGGAAUUGGAGAAUAGAUAAUCUCAGGGACACCUGUGGCCAGCCACUGUCUCCGUCACAAACAACCGCCUUUGCAAAUCAGCGAGGGAACCGGGAGGAUACGCCCAGUCAGACGAUUGGAACAACAACGGCUCAUGAUGAAACCUCUCUGCCUAAAAAAUUAGCCACGCCGUGUUGCAGGGGUGAGCAGGAGUGUGUAGCCCAACUCAGGGGAGGACAAGACAAGAGAAGAGACUUCUCCAAAUCCUCAGGUCUAGUUGCUGAGGAGGUAACCCCAGUGGGGGUGGUGGAGGUGCACCACCUAUGACAGAUUUGUCCUGCACUUUGUGGUGUUACUUUGUGGGUCUCUCAGCGGACACAGGCAGGUAACUUCACAGUCUACUUCUCCGAGAUCGUUUUUUUCCCACCGCUAGCAGCCCGGUGAGAAAUAAAGAAUACUUCAUGGAUGGAAAAGUUGUGUCGGUGGUUGUCCCAAAAUCCCAACUGCUGACAAAUUGACGUCAAAAAUCCAAUUUAAUUUGGAUAAAGAUGCUUAGCGAUAAUCUAUGUCUCCCUUUUGAACACAUCUUAUUAGUUGGAGGUCUUCCUGCUGUGGCAUAAAGGUGAUGAAAUGUCUCUUUUAAGAGGGAAAUAGGGGAAAGAGGGGAUCUUUGUAAAGUCCUACAUCUUUAGCCUCUGCUUUGGGAAAUAAGUGAUGGGACGAACCCACUCAAUGAACCCACGACCCCAGCACCUCUCUAGUCCUGUAUGUGACCUGAUCACGGUCUCUUAAUAUAUCUAAAAUAUAGAUCUAAUGAAUGCUACCAAUCACGACUCAGCUCGUGUUCACUGCCCUAGAACUUAUCCGCAAGUCUUUGCAAGGGUCUAGAAAAUUAUUAUUUAUUUCCUGCCCGAACGCAUUUAUAUUUCCACCCCAGUUAAUGCCGAUGAUUACCUAAUGACCGGAGGAAUAUGCAAACCGUAAUGAUGUAUAAUAAUAACAGUACACGGGUGCAGCAGCGUAUAUGUAUUACCUCUUUCUUCAAGGCUGCGAUGCUAUUGUGGUCCUAUCGUGUUUCCAUCCAAAAGCAUACACACACACCGACACACAUGCUUGCACUCCACACACAUAUACACACACAUGCAUUCACACACCACACACACACACACAAACACACACACAUAGACACGCAUGCAUGAAGACACACACACACACACGCAUGCUCACC